GUAGGUGGUUUGUUAAGCAAAUAAUGAAAUCGUGUGGCUCAACCAUAUCGACUAUUAUUUGAACUGGCAAACUCGAGAAUGAGAGAGGUGGCUGGAAUUCCCUGUGUAGGAGUGAAAUCCGUAGAUAUAGGGAGGAACACCGAUGGCGUAGGCAGGCCACUGGCUCAUUUCUGACACUGAGGCACGAAAGCGUGGGGAGCGAACGGGAUUAGAUACCCCGGUAGUCCACGCUGUAAACGAUGGAUGCUAGCUGUUAGGAGUAUCGACCCUUCUAGUAGCGAAGCUAACGCGUUAAGCAUCCCGCCUGGGGAGUAAGAACGCAAGUUUAAAACUCAAAGGGAUUGACGGGGACCCGCACAAGUGGUGGAGCGUGUUCUUUAAUUCGACGUUAAGCGAAGAACCUUACCAGGGCUUGACAUCCUUGGAGUCUCUGCGAAAGCAGAGAGUGCCUUCGGGAGCCAAGUGACAGGUGUUGCAUGGCCGUCGUCAGCUCGUGUCGUGAGAUGUUUGGUUAAGUCCAUCAACGAGCGCAACCCCUAUGUUUAGUUGAAUUUUUCUAAACAGACUGCCUCGGUAACGGGGAGGAAGGAGGGGACGACGUCAGGUCAUUAUUACCCUUACGUCCUGGGCUAGAAACGCGCUACAAUGGCCGGUACAAAGGGCAGCCAACCCGCAAGGGGGAGCAAAUCCCAUCAAAACCGGUCCCAGUGCGGAUUGCAGGCUGAAACUCGCCUGCAUGAAGCCGGAAUCACUAGUAAUCGUAGGUCAGCACACUACGGUGAAUACGUUCCCGGGUCUUGUACACACCGCCCGUCAAACCAUGGAAGUCACCAACACCCGAAGUCUGAAUUUAUUUCGGCCUAAGGUGGGGGGGAUAACUGGGGUU
RNAcentral lists this ribosomal RNA (886 nucleotides) under uncultured Candidatus Saccharibacteria bacterium. RNAcentral's name for it is "bacterial SSU rRNA". It matches the Rfam family "Bacterial small subunit ribosomal RNA", at positions 571 to 1482 of the family's 1533-position model. Lineage: Bacteria; Candidatus Saccharimonadota. The record is from RNAcentral.